UGGGGAAUUUUGGACAAUGGGCGAAAGCCUGAUCCAGCAAUGCCGCGUGUGUGAAGAAGGCCUUCGGGUUGUAAAGCACUUUUGUCCGGAAAGAAAUCCUUGGCUCUAAUACAGUCGGGGGAUGACGGUACCGGAAGAAUAAGCACCGGCUAACUACGUGCCAGCAGCCGCGGUAAUACGUAGGGUGCAAGCGUUAAUCGGAAUUACUGGGCGUAAAGCGUGCGCAGGCGGUUUGCUAAGACCGAUGUGAAAUCCCCGGGCUCAACCUGGGAACUGCAUUGGUGACUGGCAGGCUAGAGUAUGGCAGAGGGGGGUAGAAUUCCACGUGUAGCAGUGAAAUGCGUAGAGAUGUGGAGGAAUACCGAUGGCGAAGGCAGCCCCCUGGGCCAAUACUGACGCUCAUGCACGAAAGCGUGGGGAGCAAACAGGAUUAGAUACCCUGGUAGUCCACGCCCUAAACGAUGUCAACUAGUUGUUGGGGAUUCAUUUCCUAGUAACGUAGCUAACGCGUGAAGUUGACCGCCUGGGGAGUACGGUCGCAAGAUUAAACUCAAGGAAUUGACGGGGUCAUAGCUGUUUCCU
This 582-nucleotide ribosomal RNA is filed under the name uncultured bacterium. RNAcentral's name for it is "partial 16S ribosomal RNA". It matches the Rfam family "Bacterial small subunit ribosomal RNA", at positions 355 to 1375 of the family's 1533-position model. The record is from RNAcentral.